GAUGAACGCUGGCGGCGCGCCUAACACAUGCAAGUCGAACGGUUAAAGCACCUGUUAGGUGUGUAUAAAGUGGCGAACGGCUGAGUAACACGUGGGCAACCUGCCCUCCUCUUGGGGAUAGCCUCGGGAAACCGAGGAUAAUACCCGAUACUUCAAUGUGGCCGCAUGACGACAUUGAGAAAGCUUUUGCGGAGAAGGAUGGGCCCGCGGCCUGUUAGCUUGUUGGUGGGGUAGAGGCCUACCAAGGCAAUGAUGGGUAGCUGGGUUGAGAGACCGACCAGCCAGAUUGGGACUGAGACACGGCCCAGACUCCUACGGGAGGCAGCAGUGGGGAAUCUUGCACAAUGGGGGGAACCCUGAUGCAGCGACGCCGCGUGAGCGAAGAAGGUUUUCGAAUCGUAAAGCUCUGUCCUAUGAGAAGAUAAUGACGGUAUCAUAGGAGGAAGCCCCGGCUAAAUACGUGCCAGCAGCCGCGGUAAUACGUAUGGGGCGAGCGUUGUCCGGAAUUAUUGGGCGUAAAGGGUACGUAGGCGGUUUUUUAAGUCAGGUGUGAAAGCGUGAGGCUUAACCUCAUUAAGCACUUGAAACUGGAAGACUUGAGUGAAGGAGAGGAAAGUGGAAUUCCUAGUGUAGCGGUGAAAUGCGUAGAUAUUAGGAGGAAUACCGGUGGCGAAGGCGACUUUCUGGACUUUUACUGACGCUCAGGUACGAAAGCGUGGGGAGCAAACAGG
This 731-nucleotide ribosomal RNA is filed under the name uncultured Atopobium sp. Its description in RNAcentral is "bacterial SSU rRNA". It matches the Rfam family "Bacterial small subunit ribosomal RNA", at positions 28 to 776 of the family's 1533-position model. The record is from RNAcentral. Lineage: Bacteria; Bacillati; Actinomycetota; Coriobacteriia; Coriobacteriales; Atopobiaceae.